This 434-nucleotide long non-coding RNA is filed under the name Phoenix dactylifera (date palm). Its description in RNAcentral is "long non-coding RNA (PDAC_LNC009970)". The record is from RNAcentral. Lineage: Eukaryota; Viridiplantae; Streptophyta; Magnoliopsida; Arecales; Arecaceae.
AACUAUCUCCAGUUUGAGUCAAGGUCCUUUUUCCCUUGCCGCUUAAACCGUAGAAGUCUACUCCACAGAUGAUAACCUCUCAUGCGUUGCAUGAUAGUUUGUAAAUGCAUGGAUCCUAUAAGGUCCAUGUCAUGCGUAGAUCCGGUAAAGUUGAUGAACUAGGGAGAUCUAGUCCACUGGUCGUAACGAUCACCAUAAUUGCAUAAUCCAUGCAUGAUGAUUUGUAGUUCGAUGCUCCAAUGUGCUUCAUGGGGCCGACACUAUUGCGGUAGGCAACAGAAAUAUUGGAUUAAGAAGAAAAAAAACAAGUUUAUACAAUUGACUUAUAUCUAUGAGCACAAACGGUGCAAAUUUUCACUACUAAAAAGAAAAACUAUAGAGUUCAAAAUUAUCUAACAAAUUCUAGCCCCAGUACAAGCAAUCUCUAAAACACC